AGUGAAUAGAUACCCUGGUAGUCCUAGCCGUAAACGAUACUCGCUAGGUGUCGGCCACGGUGCGACCGUUGUCGGUGCCGUAGGGAAAGCCGUGAAGCGAGCCACCUGGGAAGUACGGCCGCAAGGCUGAAAUUUAAAGGAAUUGGCGGGGGAGCACCACAACGGGUGGAGCUUGCGGUUUAAAUUGGAUUCAACGCCGGAAAUCUUACCGGGACCGACAGCGAUAUGAAGGCCAGGCUGAAGACUUUGCCGGAUUAGCUGAGAGGUGGUGCAUGGCCGUCGUCAGUUCGUACUGUGAAGCAUCCUGUUAAGUCAGGCAACGAGCGAGACCCACGCCCACAGUUGCCAGCGUACUCUCCGGAGUGACGGGUACACUGUGGGGACCACCGCUGCUAAAGCGGAGGAAGGAAUGGGCAACGGUAGGUCAGUAUGCCCCGAAUAUCCCGGGCUACACGCGAGCUACAAUGGUUGGUACAAUGGGUAUCUACCCCGAAAGGGGAUGGAAAUCUCCUAAAGCCAAUCUUAGUCCGGAUUGAGGGCUGCAACUCGCCCUC
Molecule: ribosomal RNA, 554 nt
Filed under: uncultured bacterium
Lineage: Bacteria
Description: bacterial SSU rRNA
Rfam family: Archaeal small subunit ribosomal RNA
Source: RNAcentral